Molecule: ribosomal RNA, 441 nt
Filed under: uncultured bacterium
Lineage: Bacteria
Description: partial 16S ribosomal RNA
Rfam family: Bacterial small subunit ribosomal RNA
Source: RNAcentral
CCUACGGGAGGCAGCAGUGGGGGAUAUUGCACAAUGGGGGGAACCCUGAUGCAGCGACGCCGCGUGGGUGAAGGAGUGCUUCGGCAUGUAAAGCCCUAUCGGCAGGGAAGAAGCCAGACGGUACCUGACUAAGAAGCCCCGGCUAACUACGUGCCAGCAGCCGCGGUAAUACGUAGGGGGCGAGCGUUAUCCGGAUUCACUGGGUGUAAAGGGAGCGUAUGCGGCCAUGCAAGCCAUGGGUGAAAGCCCGGGGCCCAACCCCGGGACUGCCCUUGGAACUGUGCGGCUAGAGUGCGGGUGGGGCAGGCGGAAUUCCUGGGGUAGCGGUGAAAUGCGUAGAUAUCAGGAGGAACACCGGCGGCGAAGGCGGCCUGCUGGACUGCGACUGACGUUGAGGCUCGAAAGCGUGGGGAGCGAACAGGAUUAGAUACCCUUGUAGUC